GACGAACGCUGGCGGCGUGCUUAACACAUGCAAGUCGAACGGAAAGGCCCUGCUUUUGUGGGGUGCUCGAGUGGCGAACGGGUGAGUAACACGUGAGUAACCUGCCCUUGACUUUGGGAUAACUUCAGGAAACUGGGGCUAAUACCGGAUAGGAGCUCCUGCUGCAUGGUGGGGGUUGGAAAGUUUCGGCGGUUGGGGAUGGACUCGCGGCUUAUCAGCUUGUUGGUGGGGUAGUGGCUUACCAAGGCUUUGACGGGUAGCCGGCCUGAGAGGGUGACCGGCCACAUUGGGACUGAGAUACGGACCAGACGCCUACGGGAGGCAGCAGGGGGGAAUAUUGCACAAUGGGCGGAAGCCUGAUGCAGCAACGCCGCGUGCGGGAUGACGGCCUUCGGGUUGUAAACCGCUGUCGCCUGUGACGAAGCGUGAGUGACGGUAAUGGGUAAAGAAGCACCGGCUAACUACGUG
RNAcentral lists this ribosomal RNA (468 nucleotides) under uncultured bacterium. RNAcentral's name for it is "partial 16S ribosomal RNA". It matches the Rfam family "Bacterial small subunit ribosomal RNA", at positions 28 to 507 of the family's 1533-position model. The record is from RNAcentral.